GGGGACUGCAGGCACAGUGAGGAAGGUAGGGAAGGGUCUCUCCAAGACAGGCCCACCAGGAGCCCCCACUGGGAAUAAUGCAGCCCCUCUCAGGGGAUGGAGUGUCUGGAAUUCCAUGGCUGAGGUGCAACAGGUCCCACAGCCUCUCCAGCCUCUGUGGGAAGAAGGAUCAUCUGAUGCCUAUGUAAUAGAGUUGCUGAAGGAGUGGAAGCAGCUUUGACAUUAUCAGUGGAACCCACCAGUGCAGACUGCUUCACCAAGGGCACCUGAGGCAGCAGAUCUGAGGAUUAGGGACGUAGGGAGCUGAAGCCUGGCUGGAGAGGUGGUGCGCACAAGAACCCCCACAUUCCCCGACAGGAGCCUGAAAAAGCAAGACGCCAUGUUGGGAGGACACGGAAGCAGUUCUAGGGAGAGGAGCACAUGGCAAGAAGCCAAGGCCUCCUGCCCACAGCCGCCUAGUUUCUUUUGCAGAUACCCUGUGAUUGCCAGCAAGUAAACCAGAUGCAAUUGUGGUUUCCGUGAAGCACAGCUGGAAAACUGCUGCCCCCACGGAGGAAGAGGAAGAUGGGAAGAUGGUGGUUACUGCACACCAGGCACCAGCCUCGGGGCUAUGAGCUGUACAAACAUUACCCAUUUUAUCCUCGUGACCAUGUUCUGAGAAGGCUGUCAAUGAUCUCACUUUAUACAUGGGGAAAUUCAUGCAGACAGAGGCUGACUAAAUUGCCAUGGUCACUCAGCUAGUAGGAACUGGAGCUGUAACUUGAACCCGGGUCUUUUGUUUCUGUGGCUCCUGGUAGCACAUGCCGGGCUUGAAGUGAGAUCCGGAGGAUGUUGGAAACAACGUGUUCCCCAUCAUGAAAGUCCUUAUGAUACCUUAUGAUGCAGAGUUGGCAGCCAGGAGCAGGGGCUUCCAGAAGCAUGGCUGACCCUUGUUGGGAUCUCGCUCCUGUGAGCCUUGGAACGUCUAGGGAGAAAGAGCAGCCAAAUUUAGAGCUGCAGGAGCUUUGAGAUGCAGCUCAGGCAUCAUCUCUGGGAAGUCUUUCCUGGAACCACAGCCUGGGCCCUGUACCUGAUUCCCAGCCCCUGUGGCUCUUUUUGCAUUUGCUGCCUCUUUUCACAAUUCUGUCUCCUUAUGUCUUCCACUCUACACGCAAGCCCCUUGAGGGCAGGACCAUGACUCAGUCAUCCUGUACCCUAGCACCCACCCUGGGUCUGCAUCUGGAAGGAGCUCACUAAGUGAUUAUUGAGCCAAACUGAACUGUAGCAGGAGUGAGCAAAGCUAAUUCAUGGGUGCAGAAUGGGAGCACAGAGCUGCCAGAAUCCAGAGACAACUGUAACUGUCCCGGCACAGGGGGCUUCAGGCCGCGGUGAGAGCCACUGAAAGCAAGAGAGCCAGGUGGUGGCUCAGUUCACACUGAGUCCUGCUGAAGAAAUAGGCACAUCGUGUGUGUUAAAAUCAGCACCCCAUGCACCUGUAGGAAGAGACUGAGGCACCCUGGAGGCCCCUCCCAAUAAUUAAAAGGCCCUCUGGGGCCUGUGGGAGCCCUAGCUGAUGAAAUCACAAAGGCCUCAGCCUCUAAAGUGUUUCCAGUAAAAUGCUACCAGGAUUUUCCUCCCUUAAAUCUGGAUGAAAGGGCUGUCUGUGCUACAAAGUGCACACCUGGCGUUGAUACGCAGUCUCUUGCUGCCUGUUAACUAACCCACCAGCCGACAAGUUCUGCCCACUGGCAGGAGCAAGGACUUAUAAAAAAUAGUGCCUCCCUCCCAAGGGCUUAUGAGCUGGUUAAGUGCAGAGGACAAAUAGAAUGAAAGAAAAGGCAAUCUCGGCAUAGUAUUUAGUUAAUUCUUCUCUCUCUCUUGUUCCCUCUCUCUCCUUUCUCUCUUCCUCCCUCCUUUCUAUGACUUGUCCUCUCCACACAACUCCUUUUCCGUUUUCCCUCCCCUGCCUCCCCACCUUCUUUCUUGACUUCCCAUCUUGCUCCCUUUCUUCCUGCCUGCCCAUCUGCUUUCCUUUCUUAUCUCUGGUGCAAAUUCUGCAUAUAGUCGCUCUCCUCAUUUCAUGACAGGCUGUCUUCAUCAGUUUCUGAGUUCUUUUGUUAUUUUAUAAAAUAUUUUACAUGCUGUCCUCAAAAAAUCCCCUCCCCCAGAAAAGGCCCAUUCAAAAGUACUUACUAUACGUCCUUAGAUAGGCAAUGAUCUCUGAAAUAUAUAUAGGCUUGCUCUAUAUGUGUUUUUGUAAGUGUACUUUUCUUUCAUUAAAUAUGCAGAUCUUAAUUGUACAGUUUGAGGUGUUUUGACAAAGGUAUAUACCAGUAAAACCACCACCCCAACCAAGGUACCGAACACUUUCAUCUCUCUGGAAAGUCCCCUUGUGCCACCUUCCAGUCAACUCUCACCCUCCAGAGGCACCCACUGUUCAGAUUUCUACAUGCAUUUUGCCUGUUGCUGAACUGGAACCUCACAGCCUUUUACGUCUGGCUUCUUUCACUUAACAUAAUGUUUUUAAGUCAUCCAUGUAGUUCAUUCUUUUUUUUGUUGCAGAGCAAUAUUCCAUUGUGUGAAUGGAUGUACUUUAUCCAUCAACAGUUGAUGAAGUUGGGUUGGUGGCACUUUUUGGCUAUCGUGGGUAAUGCUGCUCUGGAUGUUUCUGCACAAGUCUUUAUUGUGGACAUGGGUUUCCAUUUCUUCUGGGCAAAUGCCCAGGAACAGAAUUGCUGAUUCAUUAGGAAGUUAUAUGUUUAACUUCAUAAGAAACUGGAAAACCGCACUCCACAGUGUUCAUGCUAUUGCACAUUGCCCCCAGUGCCAUGUGAAUGUUUCAUUCUUGGGGUCUAGAAUAUCUUACUGCAGUUUUAAUUGGAAGUUCUCUGAUGACUUUUGAUAGAGUAUCUUUUCAUGUGCUUAUUGGUUAUUUAUUUCUUCUUUAAAGAAGAGUCUAGAUCCUUUUCCCAUUUAAAAUUGCAUUGCUUCUAUUUUUACUGUUGAUUCUUAGAAGUUCUUUACAUAUUUUAGAUUUAUAUACAGUAAAUAUUUUCUCCCAGUCCAUGGCUUGCCUUUACCUUUUCUUAAUGGUGUCUUUUGAUUAACCAGACAUUUUAAAUUUUCAUGAAGCCUAUUGUAUCGGGGGUUGUUUUUGUUUGUUCAUUUAUGGUUAGUACUCUUUUUGGUGCUAGCCAGGAAAACUUUGCCUACAUUCUCCUAAGCUCAUGAAUAUAUUUUUCUAUAUUUGUUUCUAGGACAUUUAUAAUUCAAACUUUUAUGUUCUAGCCUAUCACUCAUGUAUAGUUAUGUAUAGUAUAAAUAAGGAUUGAAGUUCAUUUUUCUUUCCAUAUACUUAUCCAGUUAUUCCAGCACCAUUUGUUGAAAACACUUUCUUUCCCUCAUUGAAUUUCCUUGAAGCUUGUGCUCAUAACUUAUAUAACGAGUAUUGCGUUACAAUUUCCAUUAUAUUUCUUAAUUUUUCACUUAACACAAUGUUUAUAUGAUCUAUCCGCAAUGCUGUAUUCAGUCAUUUGAAUUCACUCAUUCAUUUUAUCAUUCAAUAAAUCUGCAGUGGUGAAGAAAACAGAA
This 3570-nucleotide long non-coding RNA is filed under the name Homo sapiens (human). Its description in RNAcentral is "non-protein coding lnc-ECI2-2:3". Lineage: Eukaryota; Metazoa; Chordata; Mammalia; Primates; Hominidae. The record is from RNAcentral.